CAGCAGCCGCGGUAAUACAGAGGGUGCAAGCGUUAAUCGGAAUUACUGGGCGUAAAGCGCGCGUAGGUGGUUUGUUAAGUUGGAUGUGAAAUCCCCGGGCUCAACCUGGGAACUGCAUCCAAAACUGGCAGGCUAGAGUAGGGCAGAGGGUGGUGGAAUUUCCUGUGUAGCGGUGAAAUGCGUAGAUAUAGGAAGGAACACCAGUGGCGAAGGCGACCACCUGGCCUAAUACUGACGCUGAGGUACGAAAGCAUGGGGAGCAAACAGGAUUAGAUACCCCUGUAGUCCCUGUCUCUUAUAC
RNAcentral lists this ribosomal RNA (301 nucleotides) under uncultured bacterium. Its description in RNAcentral is "partial 16S ribosomal RNA". It matches the Rfam family "Bacterial small subunit ribosomal RNA", at positions 509 to 807 of the family's 1533-position model. The record is from RNAcentral.